GGUAUUUAAGAUGAAGCUACUCAUGUACUUGAUCUCAGCUGUCUUUGCGCCUACCACGUCUCUUCGCCCAAGCAACAAGUGCUUCCCCAUUCUGGUGCGAACCUGAAAGAUGUGAACAAAAUGAAUUGGUGUAAAUUCAUCGCUGACUUCCUGCAUGAUGCAUUCUCGACCAAGAUGUACCAGAAGGGUUGCCUCUUGCACCUAAUGCUCAUGUACGUCGAUGCUCUUGAUCUGUCCACCGUUGACUUUAC
Molecule: long non-coding RNA, 251 nt
Organism: Triticum aestivum (bread wheat)
Lineage: Eukaryota; Viridiplantae; Streptophyta; Magnoliopsida; Poales; Poaceae
Exons: 3
Source: RefSeq, a predicted model, not a curated record